RNAcentral lists this ribosomal RNA (445 nucleotides) under uncultured bacterium. Its description in RNAcentral is "partial 16S ribosomal RNA". It matches the Rfam family "Bacterial small subunit ribosomal RNA", at positions 354 to 796 of the family's 1533-position model. The record is from RNAcentral.
GUAAGGAAUAUUGGGCAAUGGGCGCAAGCCUGACCCAGCCAUGCCGCGUGAAGGAUGACGGCCCUAUGGGUUGUAAACUUCUUUUGUACGGGAAAAAACCACCGGUCGUGACCGGUGCUGAUGGUACCGUAAGAAUAAGCAUCGGCUAACUCCGUGCCAGCAGCCGCGGUAAUACGGAGGAUGCAAGCGUUAUCCGGAUUCAUUGGGUUUAAAGGGUGCGCAGGCGGAAUAAUAAGUCAGUGGUGAAAUCCUACGGCUCAACUGUAGAACUGCCAUUGAUACUGUUAUUCUUGAGUACACUUGAAGUGGGCGGAAUGUGUCAUGUAGCGGUGAAAUGCUUAGAUAUGACACAGAACACCGAUCGCGAAGGCAGCUCACUAAAUUGUAACUGACGCUCAUGCACGAAAGCGUGGGGAUCAAACAGGAUUAGAAACCCGGGUAGUCC